UCCUACGGGGGGCAGCAGUGAGGAAUAUUGGUCAAUGGGCGGGAGCCUGAACCAGCCAAGCCGCGUGAGGGAAGAAGGUACAGCGUAUCGUAAACCUCUUUUGUCAGGGAACAAAGGCGGGGACUAGUCCCCGGAUGAGGGUACCUGAAGAAAAAGCAUCGGCUAACUCCGUGCCAGCAGCCGCGGUAAUACGGAGGAUGCGAGCGUUAUCCGGAUUUAUUGGGUUUAAAGGGUGCGCAGGCGGCCUGUUAAGUCAGCGGUAAAAGCCCGGGGCUCAACCCUGGCGAGCCGUUGAAACUGGCGGG
Molecule: ribosomal RNA, 305 nt
Filed under: uncultured bacterium
Lineage: Bacteria
Description: bacterial SSU rRNA
Rfam family: Bacterial small subunit ribosomal RNA
Source: RNAcentral